RNAcentral lists this transfer-messenger RNA (365 nucleotides) under Angustibacter aerolatus. It matches the Rfam family "transfer-messenger RNA". From Rfam's summary of the family: Bacterial tmRNA, also known as 10Sa RNA or SsrA, is named for its dual tRNA and mRNA-like properties. Its role is to liberate the mRNA from a stalled ribosome. To accomplish this part of the tmRNA is used as a reading frame that ends in a translation stop signal. The record is from RNAcentral. Lineage: Bacteria; Bacillati; Actinomycetota; Actinomycetes; Kineosporiales; Kineosporiaceae.
GGGGGUGAACGGUCUCGACGUUGGCCGUUUUCCCAGGAGAAGCGGGUAGAGGACGCACGGUCAUCUCUCGAACGAUCCGUGCAAACCAAUAGGUGCCGAUUCCAAGCGCACCGACUUCGCCCUCGCCGCCUGAGCGAGUCUCGAAGUCCGUCAGCCUGGUAGGCUUCCGGCUCAGGUCCUGGCGUCGACCAGGAAGCCACUGCUCCUGACGUCUGCCGCGGGCGUCAGGGGGACUCUUUCGCGGCUGGGCCCGUCAGCGACUCGUCUGCGUGAUCGCUGGGGCCGAGAAAAUCAUCAGCAGACUGCACCCGGAGAAGUCCUGGUUCUGCGACAGCGGACGCGGGUUCGAUUCCCGCCACCUCCAC